Molecule: long non-coding RNA, 599 nt
Filed under: Homo sapiens (human)
Lineage: Eukaryota; Metazoa; Chordata; Mammalia; Primates; Hominidae
Description: HSALNT0384785
Source: RNAcentral
GCCAGAAACGUCUACCUUAUCCCUCUUGAAAUGCUACCCUGAGAUUGACAUAUGGGGAGUCUGGGCUAGACUCCUCGAGGGUGAGAAACUAUGUGAAGCAAGGUCUGGCCAAUAGACAGCCCCAAAUGCCAGAAUUGGGAGUGAAGUCAUCAUAGACAAUCUGUCUCUAAUGGAGUCCCCAGAUGUGUGCAGAAUAGGAAUAGCCCCAGGAAAGACCAACAGAAGAACCACUCACCUGAGCUCAGCCCAAAUUGUUGACUCACAGAAUUAAUUACAAUCUCCUGUUCCCCCUGAAAGAGCCCAGAUAGAUUCCCAGAUGAGUAUCGGAAGAGGUAGCUGCCAUCAGGACUUGCUUGAUGGACCCAAGCACUCAUCUAAUAGUGGCACUGGAAGAAUUAAUCUGGCUGAUAUAUCAGACCUCUCUCCUCCGUGGGAACUUGCCAUUUUCUCCAGCCUCUGAGUUUUUCUAGUGAGAUUCAGAGAUACAGCCAAAUCGCCUUAUACAAGGCAGGUGCUUGAUACAGGUUGAAUGAAGAUUAUGUUUACCAGGUUCCAGCUUUCUCCAUGAACCUCUUAACCUCCUCUUCAAGCAGAUGUCA